CAAUAAACCACGAACAGCCGU
RNAcentral lists this microRNA (21 nucleotides) under Macacine alphaherpesvirus 1. RNAcentral describes it as "hbv-miR-B3RC-5p". Its record names the gene hbv-miR-B3RC-5p. Lineage: Duplodnaviria; Heunggongvirae; Peploviricota; Herviviricetes; Herpesvirales; Orthoherpesviridae. The record is from miRBase by way of RNAcentral.